GACAGAGGGUGCAAACGUUGUUCGGAAUUACUGGGCGUAAAGCGCGUGUAGGCGGCUAAGUAAGUCGGGCGUGAAAUCCCACGGCUCAACCGUGGAAGUGCACUCGAAACUGCGUAGCUAGAGUCCUGGAGAGGAAGGUGGAAUGCUUGGUGUAGAGGUGAAAUUCGUAGAUAUCGAGAGGAACACCGGUGGCGAAGGCGGCCAACUGGACGAAGACUGACGCUGAGACACGAAAGCGUGGGGAGCAAACAGG
RNAcentral lists this ribosomal RNA (253 nucleotides) under uncultured bacterium. RNAcentral describes it as "partial 16S ribosomal RNA". It matches the Rfam family "Bacterial small subunit ribosomal RNA", at positions 524 to 776 of the family's 1533-position model. The record is from RNAcentral.